UACCGAGGGGGCAAGCGUUGUUCGGAAUUACUGGGCGUAAAGGGCGCGUAGGCGGCCUUCUAAGUCAGACGUGAAAUCCCUCGGCUCAACCGGGGAACUGCGUCUGAGACUGAAAGGCUUGAAUCCGGGAGAGGAAUGCGGAAUUCCAGGUGUAGCGGUGAAAUGCGUAGAUAUCUGGAGGAACACCGGUGGCGAAGGCGGCAUCCUGGACCGGCAUUGACGCUGAGGCGCGAAAGCCAGGGGAGCAAACGGG
Molecule: ribosomal RNA, 253 nt
Filed under: uncultured bacterium
Lineage: Bacteria
Description: partial 16S ribosomal RNA
Rfam family: Bacterial small subunit ribosomal RNA
Source: RNAcentral